UAGUCAUGGUAUGGGCACUGCAGUAAAACUAACUUGAAGUGAUCCCAUGCUUCAUGAAAAGAAUUAGUAUCCUUUUGAUAAAAAUUAGAAACUUCAGCUCUCAAUUC
Non-coding RNA from Ricinus communis (castor bean), 107 nucleotides. Lineage: Eukaryota; Viridiplantae; Streptophyta; Magnoliopsida; Malpighiales; Euphorbiaceae. The record is from Rfam.